AAGUCGUAACAAGGUUUCCGUAGGUGAACCUGCGGAAGGAUCAUUAAAUAAUCAAUAAUUUUGGCUUGUCCAUCAUUAUCUAUUUACUGUGAAACGUAUUAUUACUUGACGCCUGAGGGAUGUUCCACUGCUAUAAGGAUAGGCAGCGGAAAUGUUAACCGAGUCAUAAUCAAGCUUAGGCUUGGUAUCCUAUUAUUAUUUACCAAAAGAAUUCAGAAUUAAUAUUGUAACAUAGACGUAAAAAAUCUAUAAAACAACUUUUAACAACGGAUCUCUUGGUUCUC
Molecule: unclassified non-coding RNA, 284 nt
Filed under: Mucor circinelloides
Lineage: Eukaryota; Fungi; Mucoromycota; Mucoromycetes; Mucorales; Mucoraceae
Also listed under: 1 other name
Description: partial internal transcribed spacer region
Rfam family: Eukaryotic small subunit ribosomal RNA (bases 1-46)
Source: RNAcentral